Meleagris gallopavo (turkey) is the source of this 4372-nucleotide non-coding RNA. The record is from RefSeq and is a predicted model, not a curated record. Lineage: Eukaryota; Metazoa; Chordata; Aves; Galliformes; Phasianidae.
GCUUCUUCCCGGCCUUAAAGCAGAGGAUGUGGGGGCUCUCAAGGGGAGGGAAUGGGAAUGCAGCGGGAAGAGCGCAGUCGUGCCAGGAAGUGGUGCUAUGUUGGCAGCAGCAUAUACCAUCCCCAAGGAAGCUGAAUCAGCUGAGUAAGUGGGAGAUGACAGAGCCAACGCACUGCCUGUGUUAGGGGAGCAACAAAACCCCGAUAGCGAUAUAAAUUAUUGGAACAGUGCUCAUCUGGGGAACUGCAGACAGACAAAGCAGCUCUGAGGAAAUGCAUCCCUGUCAACAGACGUUUGUUUCAGCUGAGGCUUGAAUAACAGCAGAAAUGAAAAACAGAGUAAUCUGGUGAGGAGAAAAUGAACUGCAGUCACGGUAAGUAUUUUUGAAUAAUUUGUUACGAAGUUCAUGGAUCUGAUGAGCAGAUUACUAUAUGCAUUUCUGGACAUAAUUUUUUGUCUUUGAAGAAUAAAAAUUGCUUUUCCUUUAAUGUGAUGCGUGGGCAGAUUAUUUCUUUUCUGUUCUCUUAAUACGUGGAAUGGAUACUUUAUAUGAAGAAAGGAAUUUCAAAUAUUUGUAGGGGAGAAAACUCUUUUAUUUUGCCUUCCAAAUAUAUACUGACAUUUUGAUAUAAGUAUGUACUGAUACUUUGGCUGUGUGGUCAGUGUCUUUCAGUGGAACGUUCUUAUAAGACUGACGAUUUCAUUUCAAUUUAUGAAACUAUGUUGAUAUUAGUUACAUACCUGCAUUCAUGCAUGAGCAAACUCAGUGCUAAAGCUGGCAGCCUGUAAUGAGUAUGCAUACAUUUAUAUGACAGUCUGAAACAAACUUUUUUAUGAACAGUUUGAUUUUCAACAAAAAGGUGUUGGUGUGUGGUUCUGAUAGCUAAGAAGUAAAUUUUGCCAUUAAUGUACACUUCAUGGGCCAAGUUUUGAAGGGGACAAAUUAACUCCAGCCUGUGGAAGAUUAAGGAGCUCUGAAUUGUGCAACCAACCUCAGACUGCCAUGACAAAUAAGUUAAGAAAGGUUCAUUUGGAUUUUCUGAAAUUAACUUGCCAUGAUUUCUCACUAUGUUUUCCAAACAAUACACUUUAGCAAUGAAUUGAAAGCUCCCAGCCUGCUAUAGCAACGGUUUUUAGAACUGUUUUCAGAAUCUCUGUGGGGAACUGCAGCACUGCGCCAGCCUGGAAUAUUGCAUGUUUCAUUAACUUAUUAAGAAACCUUUCUAAAGUGAAAAACGGUGGUGUAACUUAGCAUGGUUGUAUCUCCUCUGAGAGACUUUGGUUUGACUGUAUCUUGUCAGAGGCUCUAGAUGAAUUCUGUACAUAAAUGCUCUCAUGGAGGCUGCGAUUUCUAACAGAAAAAGCUUGCUCUGCAGAUGUGCAUUUCAAUCUGAUUGACUGUCAUGGAAGUAGCACGAGGUUCUGAAAUGAAUUCUAUUGCUUCUGAGGCCUAAAGUAGUCUACAGGCAGUAUAUUUGUGCUGCCCUGGAGUAGGAACUUACCUUGAGUGAGACAAUUACACUCAAAACAUGGGCUGCACAGAGUUGAUGUGGCAUAUGACUCCUACACCUGACUGCAUGUCAGAGGGGCUUAGUUAGCACUUUGUUUUCUCUGGCAUUUUUAAAAAUCUCACAUUAUUUAAACUUUACAAACUUACGAUCAGCCUAAAAUGGAUGGCUAACAUGAGUUGACUAAGUAACGUUAUUUGAAUAACAGAAGAACCAAGAGUCAUUAGCCAGGAUUAUGACCCACAUUUCAGUUGCUACUCACUCCAGCAACUUCUAUCAGGGAAGAUUUACUAUGCUUCAACUUAUCAGUAUUAGUUUAGUAGAGCUGUAAAGAGCACAGUGCAGACUACUUUGUUUUCUAGCUCAGUAAUCAAUUGCAGAACCCAGCUAUACAAAAACAUACUUUUCUGGAUUCAGCUCACUAGAGGCUGCUGGUCACUGGUUUCUCCAGCAUCUUCACCCUCUCACCCAUCACCUCGUCAGUGCCAUCUUACUGGUAAAAUCAAACAAUACGUAACCGUAUAUUUUGUGGUACAAUGACAGCUAAGAAUAAACUAAAUAUGUAUAUACAUUCAUUGCUUCAUUGCCUCAGAUAUUUCACACUUUUCAUGUAAAGCUUCCAAAAACUUUAGUGGGAUACUCCCAAUUAGAGGGAGGACACAGUCCUGCAACUGCAUGCUGCUCAAAUGUUUUCUAGCACAGAUGUGAAAGCAGUUGUCUGUACUCCAGUGUCCUUCAUUAAAGGUAAAGAGGUAAAAUGAAAGCACAGAAUUGAUUGUUGAGAUUCAGAGCGCUGGUUCGUGCCCUUUAUAUGUAAAAAAGUACACCCUAUAAAAUUCAGAUUGAAAUUUUCUGAAAGGAUGCAUGAAAUUUCUCCUGCUCUUAUCCUCCUAUGCCAUUUUCAGUGACUAUAAAAUAAAACCUAUUAAAUAUAGAAUGUAUAUUUUGCUGUGCUAUUCCUCUUCCAUGUAUAGUUAUCAAGAUAGCUACAGAUUAUUUAUAGACAACUUUUUGGUGCAAUUAAUGUGUCAGUAAAGCAAACCAAGUGUUUCUCUUUAUAAAAUGUCUUUCAAGCAUCCUUGAGGACACAUUAAAGAAGCCAUAUUAAGUAAGCUAAUUAGCAUGAUCAGAGUGUGCAUUCCUUCCUUAUGAUUAACUCUGGCACUGAAAGGAAAAUUCUAGGUAGAACUCGUAUAGUGACACUAAAUACAUAGAUUCUUAUAUUCUGUACUGGAAUGCAUGACACACUGGCUACAGUUUAAGUAACUGUUUAAAACAGCAAAGACAUAAUUCACCUAAAAGUCUGACUUUUUCUCAACAGAAAUACACAAGGCAUUAAACAGCUUGGACAAACAGUCUGGAAAGUUACAUUAUGGCUCAUCUUGUUACACUUUGUUCUAUUUAUGUAAUGGCAAAUUUUACUGAGUUCUGCUCUGUAAUGCUGGACCUUCAGCUUUUUUAUGAAAACAUAACAAUUUAUGGUAUCUAUUCACCAUAAAAUAAAGAUAAUCCAUGCAUAGAUUAGAAUCACUUUCAUCACUUUAUUUAAGAGAGAAGGAAUCUUGCAAAAAUACUAAUAAUGGCUAUUUUUGAGUAUCAGUAAGAACUUUGCUCUGUAGCAUUGUCCUCAAGGAAUAAGAUCAGUACUGAUGCUCAAGAAUGCUAUUUCAUAUAAACUGGUGUUACUGUACAAUCUCUGUUUAGUGACUGAGCUAUGCUUCAUUUAUGGGAGAAACAAUAGUUUUUGGUGGUAUAAUUGUGACUGUAGUAGGAUGGAAUGCUUUAUUCCUUGGAGUCUGAUCCUGAAACAGUGAAUGGCACGGUGUUGUGCAUACACAGCUUAAAUGAUGAGUUCUUCAACAGAAUUGUGUAACUUAAAUUCUGAUUUACUUGUGCACUUAAUGUGGUCUACUGCCAGCUUUCUUUGUUUACUUAAAGCAAAAUCUUGUUUAAGCCAUGAUGUGAUAUGUCAUUGUAGCUUCAAGAAAAGCUCUAAUUUCAAUUUUAUUGCUGUUUUAUAUCAGUUUAUCAAUUUCUCUCCUUUAGGGAUCUUCUCAUGCAUUUGUUUAUCAGAAGUCCAUCCCAUUACUUGAUAAGUUAUUUCUAGUUGAAGGCACACUAAUAUACAUCUUUAGAUUAAACUCUUGGUUAUUUUUAGCCAACAGUUUUGUUUUAAAAUGAGUGGUAUAAAUAGCUUUAAAAGCAUCAAUCUUGGGAAAUAAUUAUUGUUCUAAACUUUGUUGGCCUUGGGAAUAUGUUCUUUCAUGAGCUUUAUGACUGGAUGCUCAUACCUGGGAGAUGAGUAUGUUUAAAUUAACAGGCUGCAGUGCGUUAUUGUGCAAGUGCUGAAAAGUACCAUAUCUUCAAAGCUGGGCAGUACACACUGCUUUGCUUCAGGUCAGAAGUUACAGUAUGGAUCUUAUGAUUUCAGUUACACAUAGAUAAGUAAGAAAUGCUGAUCUAGGACCAUGCUUCCAAAGUUAUGUGAAACAAACUCUGAACUGAAACAAGUUCAGAUUAUCUCUCAGUUUUGAAACAAAGUAGGAAUGUGCCAUAUAGUGUAAUUUGAAAAUAUUAACUUUUGAAAAUUAGAUGCCACAAGAAGAUAGUGCUCAAGGAACAGAUUAAUGAUGUUUCAUUAUUAAAAUAUUUCUGAUUAAUAAGUACUUAUAAGGAAUAAAUUGCACUGCUUUCAGUAAUAAAUUCUAAUUGAUAUAUUUGGGACUCUGGCACUGUAAAAAAAAAAAAUAAAUAAAUAAUGAAAAUACAGAUUUCAGUCCAGCCUCCUGAUUACUGCGUUUUCUGAUUUUCCAAUACAAUCAUCCUACAGAAGAGAGAAAGGGAGAACUAAGUCAUAUGUUCCA